RNAcentral lists this ribosomal RNA (424 nucleotides) under uncultured bacterium. Its description in RNAcentral is "bacterial SSU rRNA". It matches the Rfam family "Bacterial small subunit ribosomal RNA", at positions 355 to 775 of the family's 1533-position model. The record is from RNAcentral.
UAAGGAAUAUUGGACAAUGGCCGCAAGGCUGAUCCAGCCAUCCAGCGUGCAGGAAGAAGGCCCUACGGGUUGUAAACUGCUUUUGUCAGGGAAUAAACCUGUGGAUUUACUCCGCAGCUGAAGGUACCUGAAGAAUAAGCACCGGCUAACUCCGUGCCAGCAGCCGCGGUAAUACGGAGGGUGCGAGCGUUAUCCGGAAUUACUGGGUUUAAAGGGUGCGUAGGCGGCUGUGUAAGUCAGGAGUGAAAGUUUGCGGCUCAACCGUAAAAUUGCUUUUGAUACUGCACGGCUAGAAUCAGGAUGAGGUCAGCGGAAUGUGGCAUGUAGCGGUGAAAUGCAUAGAUAUGCCAUAGAACACCAAUUGCGAAGGCAGCUGGCUAGACCUGUAUUGACGCUGAGGCACGAAAGCGUGGGGAGCGAACAG